CGCGACGGACACCCGGGCGGGGUCCGCAGCUGGGGAGAUCCACGGGAAGGGCCCGGCGCGAGUCCAGAGUCGCCGCCGCCAACCGCCAACCCGACCCCCUCCGAAACCGACCUGCCUUCCGCGGCGGACA
Molecule: long non-coding RNA, 130 nt
Organism: Salarias fasciatus (jewelled blenny)
Lineage: Eukaryota; Metazoa; Chordata; Actinopteri; Blenniiformes; Blenniidae
Exons: 4
Source: RefSeq, a predicted model, not a curated record